RNAcentral lists this long non-coding RNA (3134 nucleotides) under Mustela putorius furo (domestic ferret). Its description in RNAcentral is "lncRNA (ENSMPUG00000028757.1)". The record is from RNAcentral. Lineage: Eukaryota; Metazoa; Chordata; Mammalia; Carnivora; Mustelidae.
GCCGCUGGGAAGCUCUGGGGGUGUGUAAGCUGCUGCGGUUUCCUGGGCUGAGGACUGGAAAGCGAGGGCCGAAAAAGCCUGUUUUUCAGGCAGUCCCUGACCUCUACAUCUGAAACCUCAGCAUAAAGGACAACAAAGAAUGUCAGGAAAUGGCAAAUGACAAGACCUGCCAGCUACCAGCUUGAGAGAAGUCAGCGACCUGCAGGAUGUCAUUCCAGGCAUGCUGGUGAGGGAAAAAAAAAAGCUUUGCCGAAUCCCAAAGGAGAUGUACUUUACAAGUCACAGCUUACCAAUGAAGUAACUGAGACUCAAAAACCUCAAGCACAGAAGUUCAUCUAAAAACUCUUUGAUCUAUAACCCAGGGACCAAAUUGAAGACUAUCUGCAUUUUUUGCAAGACUCUGUAUCUGUGCCAAGUUCCGGUGCCCUGCCGUGCUUUUAUGUCUGCUCUGACAGCCUCCUGGCUGUCCUCUGAGCAGGCUUGUCUCAUCUCCAGUGUCCCCUGACACUCCAGUUUCUUCAUGCUCCUCGUCCUUCCUUGGGCUUUUAUUCAACAGUUUGAAACUCUCUAAAAACAAAACCCUUCUAUUUAAUAUUGAAAGCAUCUCAGAUUUCAAUUUUGUUGUUGUUAUUGUUGUUUUGUUUUGUGGAUUAAUAGAACCACAUUCCCCAAGGUCAGCUCUGGUGAGCCAGGCUGAUAUCUGAAGGUUACAGUUCCCUUCCUCUGGCUAGGUCCAAGAAAUCCUUUCUGGUCAUUAGGUUGAUUCACUACCUGAUCAUUCUCUGGCCCAGAAUCCCCCAAGGCCUUGUAAAAACAUAGUCUGUGGUUCCCACUCCUGGAGUUUUGAUUCAUUAGGUCUGGGGUGGGGCCUGGGAAUUUGAAUUCCUAACAGGUCCUCAGGGGAGGCUGAGGCUGUGGAAUCUGGACCCACACUUUGAGAACCACUGCUCUAGCUCAGUGGUUCCUUAAUUCUGCCUCCUAUGCCUGUUGAUUCCCUUUAGUUCCUAAAUCUUUUAUAAAUAUUAUCUCUGCUGGUCUAAGGUAAAACUCAGAGUGGGGAAGGGGAAUGGGAACUCUAUAACCUUCCUCUAUAGGGACAGGCCAAGAAUCGAGGGAAUUCAAUUCCAACAUCACAACCUUUUUUUUUUUUUUUUCUUUUUUGGAGGACUGAUAACGUUCUAAAGCAGUGGUAAGGGGUUAGAAAGAUCAGUUUCUGUUCUCAAGAAACUGAACAUCUAAAAAGGGGAAAGCCUAGAACAUUGCCAGUACCCCAGGAAUAUUCCCCAGGCUCACCCUAGAGGUCAAGGUCAAGACUCACCCUCAGGGUCAUACAAGGGCAGGGUCAGCAAGUUCACAAUCCUGAGUGAGUGCCUCCUCAAAUUUUGUCCUCUGGGGACUUCACUCGCCUCCCCUGUUCUCAGCCCUGCCAAAGGUCACAACAGAGACUUCCAGUAGCCCUGAUGGAUUCCAGCCUUUUCCUGCCCAAGUAUAUUCUCCACCAGAGAAGUCCACUUGGCCUGCAAGCUUGGUGGACCAGAACUGCACAUGCAAUGCUCAACCACACAUAAAGCUGGAAAAGGAGCCAAAAGCUCACGAAAUCACCAUGCAAAAUUUAUAGAGUAGGAAGAACAGAAGGACUAAGGCUGAUAUUGGAGGCAUGCAAGCAUUUAAGAGAUGGGAUUUGGAAAGAGAGACUUGCAAGUUGUUGAGAAAUGGGUAAGUGGAAAGAACCAAUAUAGUCUGAGAUCUGCUUUGAUGUCUGAAUGAAGUGUGCAAGACACGGGACUUGCCUUCAAGAAGCUUCCAGGUUAACAGGGGAAAUAAGAUCCUCACUUGAAAAAAUAAAUAUUCUGGCUCGAAGCACCCAAUUAGUGUUGAGGAUAGAAUGUAAGAGAGAGGAAUAAGCUAAAACUUGCCCUAACUUGAGCAAUACAAUCCUUAGUCUUUCCAUGUAGAAAAUGGUGAGAAUGAUAUUGAUCGCAUAGGGUUUUUAUGAAAUUCUAGUAAGAUAAUUAAAGUCCUAAGGAAAGGUGCAGACCUAUAGUAACCACUAAGUACCUUAGUAUUUUUUAUUGUAAUUUCUGUGAUGAUGCUGUUAUAUGCUGGUUAUGGACAAAGUUUAGGAGGCAGGAAGGAGAUGUGAGGCGUCCUCAUUGACAGACAAUGAGGAGCUGGGAUGGUCAGGAUUUAGAGUUAAAUUCCCCUACAUCUUGAGGCAAGAUGCCUGAGCAAGGAGGAAGUCAGUAGUUGCCAAAAUUUGGGGGCAAGUCAACAGAUUGGUUUCUGUAGAGUAUGUGCGGCUCGAGGAGAGAGACAUGAUUGUGGCCAAACUGAAAUCUUGGAACAAGAAACUUGGGCUCUUCCCUAGAGUUCAUCCAGAACUUCUGAGGAUUUAUAACCCAAAAAUGACGUAAAUAAAAUGGUCUUUUGGUGAGAUUUAUUUAUAAAUCUAAAAUGGUAAUAGGAAAAAUGAUGUCAGGUUGUUUGGUAACUUUUUUAAAAAAAGAUUUAUUUAUUUUAGAAAGAGAGAGAGCAGAGGGAGAAGGACAGAGCUAAAUAUGAGUCAAUAUGUUUUUUAAAAUUCAAAUAAAUAAUUGUCUCAUGACCAUGUGUAGCCCUAGGAGGAAGAAGCAGCAUUUUGUUUUGUUUUGUCUUGUUUUGUUUCUUUUCAUUUGACUCCUCAAGGGAAGCAGGGGGAGGAGGAAUGCAAAAUCCCUUAUUAAACCUCACAGGGCGAUUCCUCCCCAGUACCUCCUGAAGCUUGUCAUUUGCCAAGACAAUCCUUGUUUAUAGCUGUUGAUCUUACAUAAUUUUUAAAAAUUCCUCCAUUUCAUUCUCAAAAGUGCCCAUGUUAGGGCAAUAAACUAUGUGAUCACCUCGAACUCACCUUGCCAAAAUGAGUCAGUCUGAAGAGAAGAAGGGUAGGAACAGAAUGACCCACCCCCAUUCUUGCAGCCUAUCCUAUUGGGUGGCUGGCUUUGUAGUCACUGUUCCCUUCUGUCAGCAUCUCCUACUUCCUUUUAGAACCCCCUUCAGGGCUGCGUAGUUUUUGUGGAAGCACCAUUUCCAAGGCAUUGCUUCAGACUUCCUCAAACGCUUUAUUAAAAAUCACCUCAUGGUCCUGUUCUCCGAAC